RNAcentral lists this ribosomal RNA (1397 nucleotides) under uncultured bacterium. Its description in RNAcentral is "bacterial SSU rRNA". It matches the Rfam family "Bacterial small subunit ribosomal RNA". The record is from RNAcentral.
UAGAGUUUGAUCCUGGCUCAGGAUGAACGCUAGCUACAGGCUUAACACAUGCAAGUCGAGGGGCAGCGUGGGGUAGCAAUACUCCGACGGCGACCGGCGAAUGGGUGAGUAACACGUAUCCAACCUACCUCUGGCUCAGGGAUAGCCCUUAGAAAUGAGGAUUAAUACCUGAUGGUGUCGCAUGAUCGCAUGAGAGCGCGACUAAAGAUUCAUCGGCGAGGGAUGGGGAUGCGUCUGAUUAGUUAGUUGGCGGGGUAACGGCCCACCAAGACGACGAUCAGUAGGGGUUCUGAGAGGAAGGUCCCCCACAUUGGUACUGAGACACGGACCAAACUCCUACGGGAGGCAGCAGUGAGGAAUAUUGGUCAAUGGGCGCAAGCCUGAACCAGCCAAGUAGCGUGAAGGAUGACGGCCCUAUGGGUUGUAAACUUCUUUUGUCGGGGGAUAAAGCGGGCCACGUGUGGCCCUUUGCAGGUACCCGAUGAAUAAGGACCGGCUAAUUCCGUGCCAGCAGCCGCGGUAAUACGGAAGGUCCGAGCGUUAUCCGGAUUUAUUGGGUUUAAAGGGAGCGUAGGUGGAAUGGUAAGUCAGCCGUCAAAUCGCGGAGCUCAACUCCGUCCAGCGGUUGAUACUGUCAUUCUUGAGUGCACAAGAGGCAGGUGGAAUUCGAGGUGUAGCGGUGAAAUGCUUAGAUAUCUCGAAGAACUCCGAUUGCGAAGGCAGCUUGCUGGGGUGCAACUGACACUGAGGCUCGAAGGUGCGGGUAUCAAACAGGAUUAGAUACCCUGGUAGUCCGCACAGUAAACUAUGGAUGCUCGCGAUGCGGGACUAGCUUCUACGUCGCCUAGCGAAAGCGUUAAGCAUCCCACCUGGGGAGUACGCCGGCAACGGUGAAACUCAAAGGAAUUGACGGGGGCCCGCACAAGCAGUGGAUUAUGUGGUUUAAUUCGAAGCAACGCGAAGAACCUUAUCAGGUCUUGACAUCCAGGUAAAGCUGCAGAGAUGCAGUGUGUGCUUGCACAAUCUGAGACAGGUGGUGCAUGGUUGUCGUCAGCUCGUGUCGUGAGAUGUUGGGUUAAGUCCCGCAACGAGCGCAACCCUUGUGAUCAGUUACUAACGGGUAAAGCCGAGGACUCUGAUAAGACUGCCGGGGACAACUCGGAGGAAGGUGGGGACGACGUCAAAUCAUCAUGCCCCUUAUGACCUGGGCUACACACGUGCUACAAUGGCCACUACAGAGAGAAGCGAAUACGAGAGUAAGAGCGGAUCUCAAAAAAGUGGUCCCAGUUCGGAUUGUGGGCUGCAACCCGCCCACAUGAAGUCGGAGUUGCUAGUAAUCGCGGAUCAGCAUGCCGCGGUGAAUACGUUCCCGGGCCUUGCACUCACCGCCCGUCAAG